Molecule: ribosomal RNA, 477 nt
Filed under: uncultured bacterium
Lineage: Bacteria
Description: SSU rRNA
Rfam family: Bacterial small subunit ribosomal RNA
Source: RNAcentral
AGGACGAACGCUGGCGGCGUGCUUAACACAUGCAAGUCGAGCGGAAAGGCCCUUCGGGGUACUCGAGCGGCGAACGGGUGAGUAACACGUGAGUAAUCUGCCCCUAGCUCUGGGAUAGCUCCGGGAAACCGGGAUUAAUACCAGAUACGACCACUUUAGACAUCUGUUGUGGUGGAAAGAAUUUCGGCUAGGGAUGAGCUCGCGGCCUAUCAGCUUGUUGGUGAGGUAACGGCUCACCAAGGCGACGACGGGUAGCCGGCCUGAGAGGGCGACCGGCCACACUGGGACUGAGACACGGCCCAGACUCCUACGGGAGGCAGCAGUGGGGAAUAUUGCGCAAUGGGCGAAAGCCUGACGCAGCGACGCCGCGUGGGGGAUGGAAGGCCUUCGGGUUGUAAACCCCGUUUCAGCGAGGGACGAAGCGAAAGUGACGGUACCUGCAGAAGAAGCGCCGGCUAACUACGCGCCAGCAGCCGC